Molecule: non-coding RNA, 109 nt
Organism: Acanthosepion pharaonis
Lineage: Eukaryota; Metazoa; Mollusca; Cephalopoda; Sepiida; Sepiidae
Source: the annotation of a GenBank genome assembly
GUCACAUCAUGUUGAAACAACAGUUCACAUACAAUCACUGAAGUUAAGCAAUGUUGAGCUUGGUUGGUACCUAAAUGGGUGACCGCUUGGGAAUACCAAGUGCUGUAAG